Molecule: unclassified non-coding RNA, 3697 nt
Filed under: Leishmania donovani
Lineage: Eukaryota; Euglenozoa; Kinetoplastea; Trypanosomatida; Trypanosomatidae
Description: gene:LdHU3.19.1590(CDS-product:hypothetical_prote in)
Source: RNAcentral
GCGCUGCACUCCCUCUCAAUGCCUUCCGUUCCCAUGCAUGAGCGCGGUCGUACAACCACCUGUCUCUCUUUAUCGCACACACAUAAACUGCCACACUACCACCACCCACCACUAAUCAACGGUGAAAAGGAGAAAAAAAAACGCCCUCCCUACAUCUGUUCUGGCUUGCUCGUACGCUUCGCGCCCAUCAUCACCCCCCCCCACACACACCUCCCCCGCGUACGCAUGCACACACUUUUUCCUGUGUAUGUGUAUGUGCAACCCAUGGUAGAUGCGGAGAGCUGGCAAAAAACAACAUAGGCUGAUUUUCGACCCCAGCAGAUCGCGCGCAAUCCUCAUCCCGGCAGAGCGCGACGCUACCGGAUAGCGAGAGGGAGAAACUGAUCAUCGAUCAUCGAUUCUUUUUCUUUGUUUGUCUCCUCAUCUACGCAGAUGGAGCGGGGAGCUGAUGAUGGUCCGGCCUCCCUCCCCUCCCCUCCCUACUCCUCAGCUCUUCGCUAACCUCACUGCCUCCGUAUUUUCUCAGCUUCGGCCCUUUGUCGUGCCGCGCCUCUCUGACCGAUGUGGAAGUUUUCCAGAUCACUAUGCUUUUUACGGAUGGCACGUCAUCACGGAACAGGGGCCGUUUCGCUGACCGCCGUCCGAUACCCGAGCCUUUGGAACCCGCCCAGCUGUGGUUGCAGCCGGUUCUGUAGGCAUACCCCGCUCCUACCCAGAUUCAGGUCCUGGAUCCCUCAUCACCGCCGGCAACGCCGCUUUCCGCUUCCUCGGUCGACGCGGUUAGCCGCAGCAGCGUCAAAACUGGUGUCGCCGGCGUCUGCUCAAAGCCCCGGCCGUGUCGCAUGACCUGAUGAUGAGAUGGAAGAAGACACGUCCGCGGCACCAGGCUUUUCAUCUCCCGAGCGUCUCUUCUACGCAGUCGUCACUCUCGGCUUCCUGCUCCGCUCCUUCUCGAUUGCGGCUCUCUUCUUCACCUCGAACAUCAACUUCCCACGUGUCGGCGUCGGCGCGUCACAUUGACUCUUGGCAGCCCACUUCACCAUCCGUGCCAUCGGCUAGGACGGCUGACAAAACCCGCAGCAGCGCCCCUUUAUGCGUGGCGUCCCUAGCCUGGCAAUGUCCGCGGCAGUGCUCGUCGAUGCUGCUCGGCUCAUACGUUGGGUAACAUCCCUGCUGUGUUUCAUCACUGCCAUUUCACGACCUCUGAGUUCUGUCGCAGCACUCUCGACUCACCCUCAGGUGCACGGAGGAGGUGCACCGCCUUUCUGCAGCGCUCUUGGAUCCUGCCCGCCUUCUACACGGUUGUGGGCGUCGUCUUCGUCAUCUUUGUGCACGGCCCGCACUUUUUCCUCCCGCUGCUCAUCAUCAUCGCCAACUACGUCAUCUUCUCGCGGCUGCAGCGCUGGUGCCCCUACUGGCUGUUCAUGGUCAUCAUGUGGGCCGCGCACGUCACUCUCCUGUACCUCAUCGAGAUCAACGAUGGGUUCGAGCAGACGCCCUGGUUACAGUACUACACUUCGUGUAUUCUGUCACACCUGCAAGCCAUUCAGGAAGAUGCGGAAGCAAUUCCUUGGGAGCAGCGUAUGCGCUGGUGCGUAGCCUUCCGCAUGUCGACGCUGCGCCUCAUCGCCUUCAACUACGACCUGUGGGAGGCCACGCACGCCGCCGCACGCGCGCGCGACCGUGCCAGGGCGAAGCACGACACCGGCUGCGUCGAGUGCGCGCAGCUGCGCGAGCAGAACGCAGCGUCGGCGGCCGCGCUGCCCGCCGAGGCGUUGCGCUGCUACAAGUACCGCACCGAGUACGCGCGCGACCCCGCCGACUACAACUUCCUGAACUACGCCGCCUACGUGCUGUUCCCGCCACUGUACCUUGCCGGGCCAAUGUCGUCCUUCAACGCGUUCGUGUCGCACAUGCGCGUGCCGAGCACGUCGAUGCCGCUGCGCAAGAUGGUGAGGUACGCGUUUGGCAUCCUCCGCAUCUACAUCACGGAGUACACGCUGUUGCACUUUGUGCACAUCCCGUGCCUCGGCUCGUACGCCUUCGUGAUCCUUCGGAUGACGUUGCUGGAGCAGGCGCACUUCCUGUUCUACAUGCUGGCCUACCUGUGGCUGAAGUUCAGCUUUAUAUGGAAGUCGUCGCGUCUCUUCGCCAUGUUCAGCGGCAUCGAAGUUCCGGAGGACAUGCGGCGCUGCUUCGGCAACACGCUGACGGUGCGGGGCUUCUGGCGCGACUGGCACGCCUCCUUCAACCUGUGGAUCGUGCGGUACAUGUACAUCCCGAUGGGUGGCCGCAGCCGCGUCGCGCUGUCGGUGCUGCCCAUCUUCCUGUUCAUUGCGGUGUGGCACGACCCGGCGCUGCACCUUGUCAAGUGGGCGGUGUGCAUUGCCGCGAUGUUCGUGGCGGAGGUGGCGGUGAGCGGGUGCUUUGGGUGGGCCGCUGCGGCGUUCCGGCGCGAGAUGGCCGCCGCGGCACCGCAUUCCACGAGAGGGGUGAGGAUCAACAGUCAAUACUCUUGGCGUAUUUCUCUCCUUGCCUCGAAGACGUACUUUUGGGGCCGCCACGUCAGCCGGCACAGCCGAGCGGCAAUGCGACGUCAUCUGUGCUACGGUGGCUGCUUCUCGAGUAUCUUGGGGGUCAUGAGAGCGAAUAUGAUGGGGUAGCCGUGCCGCACGUGCAGGCCGCCUCCAGGGAGAAGCGGGCAGCCAAGGCGCUCUUCUUCAAGGUCCUAAAAGAAGCAGGUGCAUGGUUGCACAUUAUCUUGGCAGUCAUCGUGUGCACGGCGGCCUGCAGUAGCGUGUGUACGCGGGAUGUGAAGGCGAGGGGAAUGGGUGCACCGCCCCAUGGAGAUCAACUGAAGCAGCUGUAGUGUGGCGGCAUGUGACUCCCUACCACCACGCAACACCACCAUCACUACAAGGGGCCUCAACCCUUCGCCCCUCAACACGCACACGCACACACCUAUCCUCUACAACUCUCCCCUCCGUGUGCUUCCCGCUACCACACACUGUCUUGGUGAUGGUUUACUUUUCACUGUGACGUGCGUUCUCUGAUGACCGGAGGAUACCCUCACCCUCAAAUCUCAGGGUCCAGUGCCCACCCACCCCCUUCGCAACUCUCUGUGCGGGAAAGCCAAGCAGCACCCCGAUCCCCAUCCCCUGCCAAGUGCCGAGCCGCUUCUGCUGGUGACAGGGGGGUUAGUGUUGGGUGCAGGGGCCGCGCUCAGGUCACCGAGCUGGCGCCUUGCCGUAAACGCGUGUGUCUCCUGCCGCCUCGCACCACGCGGAUGGGGCCUGUGGCAGGGGCCGGGUGGUGGGGAAUGGGAUGCGGAGUGGCGUUGGGCCUCGCGUUGCAUGGCCGAGAGAUAGAGAGCGUGGACACAGGUUGGCAUGCGCAACACAGCGUGUCGCUCAUUUGGCCUUUUACGUUUUCCUUGUCACUUUUUUUUUCAGAGGUUUACGCUGGUCGUACUUCGGUGCAAGCUCUGCUCGUGUCUCGUUCGAUGCUCACCUGCCUGUGGGGGUGGGGCGCGCCUUUGCGAGGCUCGCGUCAUCUCCGCCCUUGCUCGUCCUGCUGCCGUGGCCGGCCGUCCGUGUGUGAGGAUGCACGAGCACUGUUGUUGUUUGUUGUCGUGCUCGCUUUGUUGAUGUUGUUUGUGGUGCUGUGUGACGCUUCUCCGCUUCUUGCCUGUGGAAAG